GUGUCCUUGGUGUAACGGUAACACAAUCUAUUAAUCUUGCAAAUGUACGCGAGCUCUAAGAUUGGGUCCGGGGUUCGACUCCCCGAGGGUGCA
This is a non-coding RNA of Mycena leptocephala, 93 nucleotides long. NCBI's taxonomy places the organism in Eukaryota, Fungi, Basidiomycota, Agaricomycetes, Agaricales, Mycenaceae. The record is from the annotation of a GenBank genome assembly.